CGAAGGGUACGCGCCCGUCGCCGGUCAACCGGCGCGCGAGAGUGUCCCCGCUGGAAGCACACGGAGCGACUCGUCGACGCGCUCAGACGCAUCCCCCGACGCGCCCGCGCCGCGCGCGCGCAUUCGCCCGCGCGAGCCGUUAACUUUUGGCAUCCACCCCGUGCAGACUCGGCGCACGUGGCCCUAAUCGCAUCCGUCGCGCGAGUCGAGGCGAGCGCGGGAG
This 223-nucleotide long non-coding RNA is filed under the name Micromonas commoda. RNAcentral's name for it is "long non-coding RNA (MCOM_LNC000421)". The record is from RNAcentral. Lineage: Eukaryota; Viridiplantae; Chlorophyta; Mamiellophyceae; Mamiellales; Mamiellaceae.